GUGCCAGCAGCCGCGGUAAUACGAAGGGGGCUAGCGUUGUUCGGAAUUACUGGGCGUAAAGCGCGCGCAGGCGGUUUCUCAAGUCAGUGGUGAAAGCCCGGAGCUCAACUCCGGAACUGCCAUUGAAACUGUGAAACUUGAGGACGAGAGAGGUGAGUGGAAUUCCCAGUGUAGAGGUGAAAUUCGUAGAUAUUGGGAAGAACACCGGUGGCGAAGGCGGCUCACUGGCUCGUUUCUGACGCUCAGGCGCGACAGCGUGGGGAUCAAACAGGAUUAGAAACCCCUGUAGUCC
RNAcentral lists this ribosomal RNA (292 nucleotides) under uncultured bacterium. Its description in RNAcentral is "partial 16S ribosomal RNA". It matches the Rfam family "Bacterial small subunit ribosomal RNA", at positions 505 to 796 of the family's 1533-position model. The record is from RNAcentral.